Molecule: ribosomal RNA, 301 nt
Filed under: uncultured bacterium
Lineage: Bacteria
Description: partial 16S ribosomal RNA
Rfam family: Bacterial small subunit ribosomal RNA
Source: RNAcentral
CAGCCGCCACGGUAAUACGGAGGGUGCAAGCGUUAAUCGGAAUUACUGGGCGUAAAGCGCACGCAGGCGGUCUGACAAGUCAGAUGUGAAAUCCCCGGGCUUAACCUGGGAACUGCAUUUGAAACUGUCAGGCUGGAGUCUUGUAGAGGGGGGUAGAAUUCCAGGUGUAGCGGUGAAAUGCGUAGAGAUCUGGAGGAAUACCGGUGGCGAAGGCGGCCCCCUGGACAAAGACUGACGCUCAGGUGCGAAAGCGUGGGGAGCAAACAGGAUUAGAUACCCCAGUAGUCCCUGUCUCUUAUAC